RNAcentral lists this ribosomal RNA (708 nucleotides) under Triticum aestivum (bread wheat). RNAcentral describes it as "partial small subunit ribosomal RNA". The record is from RNAcentral. Lineage: Eukaryota; Viridiplantae; Streptophyta; Magnoliopsida; Poales; Poaceae.
AUGUGUUGGAAUGUUAGAGGUCUUAAUUCUGAUGAUCGCCAACGUGCUGUUCGUAAUAAGGUGGAGGAAAGCAUGGCGUCUGUGGUAUGUCUACAAGAGACGAAAAUGGAGUGUAUUGAUUCCACGACUGUCCGAAAAUUUUGCCCCAGUCGUUUUGACUCGUUCGUUUUCAGUCCUUCGGUUGGGGCCUCGGGUGGCAUUGUUGUGCUGUGGAACUCCUUUGUUCUCUCUGGUCAGUUGCUGGAGGUGAAGCAUUUUGGUAUUGUUAUCCAAUUCACUUCCAAACAUAAUAAUGAAAUUUGGACGUUGGUCAACAUCUAUGGGCCGUGCAGAGGCCAAGCUAGAGAUGACUUUGUGGACUGGCUCUACCAUCUUUCCAUACCUGACUCUGCUAAUUGGUUGGUACUGGGGGAUUUUAAUUUUAUUAGAUCAACUGAGAACAGAAAUCUACCUGAGGGUGAUGCUAAUGAUAUUUUUAUCUUUAAUGAGAUUAUUGGGCAUCUUGGUCUGCUUGAAUUACCUAUUAAGGGAAGAUCUUUCACUUGGUCAAAUAUGCAAGAUCUUUCACUGGUUUUUUACCUCUGCGAAUUGGAUCUCCUGUUACCCUUCCACUCAGGUGUUGCCACUUGCAAGGACUGCUUCAGAUCAUGUGCCUUGUGUGGUGGCAAUCAACACCUCUAUUCCCAAAUGCAAUAUCUUUCGUUUUGA